GAUGAACGCUAGCUACAGGCUUAACACAUGCAAGUCGAGGGGCAGCAUGAACUUAGCUUGCUAAGUUUGAUGGCGACCGGCGCACGGGUGAGUAACACGAAUCCAACCUGCCGAUGACUCGGGGAUAGCCUUUCGAAAGAAAGAUUAAUACCCGAUGGCAUAGUUCUUCCGCAUGGUAGAACUAUUAAAGAAUUUCGGUCAUCGAUGGGGAUGCGUUCCAUUAGGUUGUUGGCGGGGUAACGGCCCACCAAGCCUUCGAUGGAUAGGGGUUCUGAGAGGAAGGUCCCCCACAUUGGAACUGAGACACGGUCCAAACUCCUACGGGAGGCAGCAGUGAGGAAUAUUGGUCAAUGGACGAGAGUCUGAACCAGCCAAGUAGCGUGAAGGAUGACUGCCCUAUGGGUUGUAAACUUCUUUUAUACGGGAAUAAAGUGAGGCACGUGUGCCUUUUUGUAUGUACCGUAUGAAUAAGGAUCGGCUAACUCCGUG
This 489-nucleotide ribosomal RNA is filed under the name uncultured bacterium. RNAcentral describes it as "partial 16S ribosomal RNA". It matches the Rfam family "Bacterial small subunit ribosomal RNA", at positions 28 to 507 of the family's 1533-position model. The record is from RNAcentral.